CCAAGAUCGCACACACGGGAGUCUUUGCAUUUUCCACACUGAGGCAGCCAUGGAGACUUCACACUGUAUUUAUUACAUGGUUAUAAGGAACAUCACGUGCAAGACACUAACAAUUAUGACGACUUUGGACAUUGCUAGGUAAUUGUCAAAAUUGUGCAUUUGAACAGCAGCAAAAUAUUCAAAGCUGGUGUGCCCUCGCUGACACGAAAUGAAUUGUCAUUUUCUGAACAUUCACCAAAGCCUGCCAGGCGCUAGGCCUAGGUUCAGCAGCACACAAUAGUGAAGCCCCCAUUCAAGCGGGCUUCGUUUCACCAGCGUACGUCACACGUCCGUGGAGCAGCGAGACCAGAGGAGCUGGGAAAGCCAGGGCUGAGCCUUGUGCUUUUGCCCUUUUAAGGGAGGACAGAUUAAUUCCAAUCAGCCUGGGCUUGGGAGCUGUAUUUGAAGCAGAGGAAAAGUUUUAAGACGGGCAUUUUUUUUUCUUUGACUGAAACAACUCUGAAAACAGCAGAGAACACAAUACGAAUUCUCGUACCACACACAGACACUUGCAAAGAUUUGGCUGGUUAACACACAAGUUAAGACUUUAAAUUUCAUAAGCCCUAAAACAGUGGCAAUUAUGAAGAGAUAUAAUGGCUCAAAAUCAUAAUGCACUGAUGUAAACAAAGCAAAGGCAAGCUUCUUGGCUUUUAAGGGCGUCCUGUACAUUCCAAGUACUGUAAAGCCCCACAUUUGUGACCGUCGCACUGAAAGCCAGCCUGCUUUUCACUCUACAGCAGUAAAGAGGCUUUCCAUUAUACAUAAAAUGCCGUUUUUCAGUUCUCGAACUCACAAACCCAAAUGCCACAAAACAUCUUUUUGUGUAUUUUUUCUUUCACAAAAUGUAUACUCUUGCCCCCCACCCCCACCCCCAACCGUUUCCUUUUACUGGAUCAAAAGGUAUGAAC
RNAcentral lists this long non-coding RNA (947 nucleotides) under Homo sapiens (human). RNAcentral describes it as "HSALNT0262998". Lineage: Eukaryota; Metazoa; Chordata; Mammalia; Primates; Hominidae. The record is from RNAcentral.